CGAACCGACUAAUGUUGAAAAAUUAGCGGAUGAUCUGUGGCUGGGGGUGAAAGGCCAAUCAAACCGGGAGAUAGCUGGUUCUCCCCGAAAGCUAUUUAGGUAGCGCCUCGUGAAUUCAUCUCCGGGGGUAGAGCACUGUUUCGGCUAGGGGGCCAUCCCGGCUUACCAACCCGAUGCAAACUGCGAAUACCGGAGAAUGUUAUCACGGGAGACACACGGCGGGUGCUAACGUCCGUCGUGAAGAGGGAAACAACCCAGACCGCCAGCUAAGGUCCCAAAGUCAUGGUUAAGUGGGAAACGAUGUGGGAAGGCCCAGACAGCCAGGAUGUUGGCUUAGAAGCAGCCAUCAUUUAAAGAAAGCGUAAUAGCUCACUGGUCGAGUCGGCCUGCGCGGAAGAUGUAACGGGGCUAAACCAUGCACCGAAGCUGCGGCAGCGAACGUAUCACCCAAGACAACUUUACGGAGUUGACGAUUGACGGAGCGAAGCGACGUCAAAGCGUUCAUUAAAGUCGAGUUGGCUUAGGGAUACGUUCGUUGGGUAGGGGAGCGUUCUGUAAGCCUGUGAAGGUGUGUCGUGAGGCAUGCUGGAGGUAUCAGAAGUGCGAAUGCUGACAUAAGUAACGAUAAAGCGGGUGAAAAGCCCGCUCGCCGGAAGACCAAGGGUUCCUGUCCAACGUUAAUCGGGGCAGGGUGAGUCGACCCCUAAGGCGAGGCCGAAAGGCGUAGUCGAUGGGAAACGGGUUAAUAUUCCCGUACUUGGUGUUACUGCGAAGGGGGGACGGAGAAGGCUAUGUUGGCCGGGCGACGGUUGUCCCGGUUUAAGCGUGUAGGUGUGUGUUCCAGGUAAAUCCGGUUCACUUUAACACUGAGGCGUGACGACGAGGCACUACGGUGCUGAAGCAACAAAUGCCCUGCUUCCAGGAAAAGCCUCUAAGCAUCAGGUAACAUCAAAUCGUACCCCAAACCGACACAGGUGGUCAGGUAGAGAAUACCAAGGCGCUUGAGAGAACUCGGGUGAAGGAACUAGGCAAAAUGGUGCCGUAACUUCGGGAGAAGGCACGCUGACACGUAGGUGAAGUGAUUUACUCAUGGAGCUGAAGUCAGUCGAAGAUACCAGCUGGCUGCAACUGUUUAUUAAAAACACAGCACUGUGCAAACACGAAAGUGGACGUAUACGGUGUGACGCCUGCCCGGUGCCGGAAGGUUAAUUGAUGGGGUCAGCGCAAGCGAAGCUCCUGAUCGAAGCCCCGGUAAACGGCGGCCGUAACUAUAACGGUCCUAAGGUAGCGAAAUUCCUUGUCGGGUAAGUUCCGACCUGCACGAAUGGCGUAAUGAUGGCCAGGCUGUCUCCACCCGAGACUCAGUGAAAUUGAACUCGCUGUGAAGAUGCAGUGUACCCGCGGCAAGACGGAAAGACCCCGUGAACCUUUACUAUAGCUUGACACUGAACAUUGAGCCUUGAUGUGUAGGAUAGGUGGGAGGCUUUGAAGUGUGGACGCCAGUCUGCAUGGAGCCGACCUUGAAAUACCACCCUUUAAUGUUUGAUGUUCUAACGUGGACCCGUAAUCCGGGUUGCGGACAGUGUCUGGUGGGUAGUUUGACUGGGGCGGUCUCCUCCUAAAGAGUAACGGAGGAGCACGAAGGUUGGCUAAUCCUGGUCGGACAUCAGGAGGUUAGUGCAAUGGCAUAAGCCAGCUUGACUGCGAGCGUGACGGCGCGAGCAGGUGCGAAAGCAGGUCAUAGUGAUCCGGUGGUUCUGAAUGGAAGGGCCAUCGCUCAACGGAUAAAAGGUACUCCGGGGAUAACAGGCUGAUACCGCCCAAGAGUUCAUAUCGACGGCGGUGUUUGGCACCUCGAUGUCGGCUCAUCACAUCCUGGGGCUGAAGUAGGUCCCAAGGGUAUGGCUGUUCGCCAUUUAAAGUGGUACGCGAGCUGGGUUUAGAACGUCGUGAGACAGUUCGGUCCCUAUCUGCCGUGGGCGCUGGAGAACUGAGGGGGGCUGCUCCUAGUACGAGAGGACCGGAGUGGACGCAUCACUGGUGUUCGGGUUGUCAUGCCAAUGGCACUGCCCGGUAGCUAAAUGCGGAAGAGAUAAGUGCUGAAAGCAUCUAAGCACGAAACUUGCCCCGAGAUGAGUUCUCCCUGAGACUUAGAGUCUCCUGAAGGAACGUUGAAGACGACGACGUUGAUAGGCCGGGUGUGUAAGCGCAGCGAUGCGUUGAGCUAACCGGUACUAAUGAACCGUGAGGCUUAACCUUACA
Molecule: ribosomal RNA, 2262 nt
Filed under: Salmonella enterica subsp. enterica serovar Typhimurium
Lineage: Bacteria; Pseudomonadati; Pseudomonadota; Gammaproteobacteria; Enterobacterales; Enterobacteriaceae
Description: partial 23S ribosomal RNA
Rfam family: Bacterial large subunit ribosomal RNA
Source: RNAcentral